RNAcentral lists this ribosomal RNA (273 nucleotides) under uncultured bacterium. RNAcentral's name for it is "partial 16S ribosomal RNA". It matches the Rfam family "Bacterial small subunit ribosomal RNA", at positions 524 to 796 of the family's 1533-position model. The record is from RNAcentral.
UACGGGGGGAGCAAGCGUUGUCCGGAAUCAUUGGGCGUAAAGGGCACGUAGGCGGUUUCUUAAGUCGAAUGUGAAAUCUCACGGCUCAACCGUGAAACUGCGUUCGAAACUAAGUGACUUGAGUUUGGGAGAGGUGUACGGAAUUCCUGGUGUAGCGGUGGAAUGCGUAGAUAUCAGGAAGAACACCAAUGGCGAAGGCAGUACACUGGCCUGAAACUGACGCUGAGGUGCGAAAGCGUGGGGAGCAAACAGGAUUAGAAACCCUAGUAGUCC